Molecule: long non-coding RNA, 217 nt
Filed under: Elaeis guineensis (African oil palm)
Lineage: Eukaryota; Viridiplantae; Streptophyta; Magnoliopsida; Arecales; Arecaceae
Description: long non-coding RNA (EGUI_LNC072931)
Source: RNAcentral
AGCGAGGCUAUGGGAGUUCGGCUCCCGUAGACGAAGUCAGGGCGAAGUUCGGCUCCCGUGGGAGUCUGGACGAAGAUCACCAGCAGUUGAAGUUGGUGACGAAGCCCGACUCCCGUGGGAGUCCGGACGGAAUCCUCCCUGUGAUUGGAGUCGCGGACGGAGCCCAGCUCCCGUAGGAGUCCGGGUGGAGUCUUCCUGCAAUUAAAGUAAGGUGCGA